RNAcentral lists this ribosomal RNA (557 nucleotides) under uncultured fungus. RNAcentral's name for it is "eukaryotic LSU rRNA". It matches the Rfam family "Eukaryotic large subunit ribosomal RNA", at positions 62 to 648 of the family's 3401-position model. The record is from RNAcentral. Lineage: Eukaryota; Fungi.
AAACCAACAGGGAUUGCCUCAGUAACGGCGAGUGAAGCGGCAACAGCUCAAAUUUGAAAUCUGGCCCUGGGCCCGAGUUGUAAUUUGCAGAGGAUGCUUUGGGGACGUCCCCGGUCCAAGUGCCUUGGAACAGGCCGUCGCAGAGGGUGAGAGUCCCGUACGCGGCCGGGCGGCCCCCCGUGUAAAGCUCCUUCGACGAGUCGAGUUGUUUGGGAAUGCAGCUCUAAAUGGGAGGUAUAUUCCUUCUAAAGCUAAAUACCGGCCAGAGACCGAUAGCGCACAAGUAGAGUGAUCGAAAGAUGAAAAGCACUUUGGAAAGAGAGUUAAACAGUACGUGAAAUUGUUGAAAGGGAAGCGUUUGCAGCCAGACUUGGCGGCGGUUGCUCAACCGGGUCUCCCGGUGCAUUCUUCCGCCGCCAGGCCAGCAUCAGUUUGGGCGGCCGGACAAAGGCCUGGGGAACGUAGCUCCUCGGAGUGUUAUAGCCCCUCGCACAAUACGGCCCGCCCGGACUGAGGACAGCGUUCGCUAGGAUGCUGGCGUAAUGGCGGCCAACGGC